UGCGCAGGCGGAUUAAUAAGUCGGGGGGUUAAAUCCAUGUGCUUAACACAUGCACGGCUUCCGAUACUGUUGAUCUAGAGUCUCGAAGAGGAAGGUGGAAUUUCCGGUGUAACGGUGGAAUGUGUAGAUAUCGGAAAGAACACCAGUGGCGAAGGCAGCCUUCUGGUCGAGUACUGACGCUCAUGCACGAAAGCGUGGGGAGCAAACAG
RNAcentral lists this ribosomal RNA (209 nucleotides) under uncultured Chlorobaculum sp. RNAcentral describes it as "partial 16S ribosomal RNA". It matches the Rfam family "Bacterial small subunit ribosomal RNA", at positions 568 to 775 of the family's 1533-position model. The record is from RNAcentral. Lineage: Bacteria; Pseudomonadati; Chlorobiota; Chlorobiia; Chlorobiales; Chlorobiaceae.